This is a long non-coding RNA of Papaver somniferum (opium poppy), 2472 nucleotides long. RefSeq lists it as uncharacterized. NCBI's taxonomy places the organism in Eukaryota, Viridiplantae, Streptophyta, Magnoliopsida, Ranunculales, Papaveraceae. The transcript has 4 exons. The record is from RefSeq and is a predicted model, not a curated record.
AGUUUUCUCUCAACCUGCUAACUUAUCUCUCCAAUCUCACACAUCCUCUCUGCAAUCCUCUCAUCAUCAACCCCAUCAUCAAUGUCAAUCAGAAGAGAUUUCAAGACACCAAUCAGAGAUGGAUUAGCAGCUCGUAAAGAGAUUUCGUUGUUCCAAUGUGUCGUUGGACAUGGAUUGUUUCUCGAUAUGGCCACAGCUGUUGUUAUUGCUGGCAAAGAAGGUGUUAGUGUUAAAAGCAAGUGAGAAUGUUCAAUGUUCAAUGGGAAUUUCAAGAAUCGGAGGUUCUCUGUGGGAGUGGAGAAUGAAGAAAGGUAAACAAAGUGGAAGGUGUGGAAUCGGCAGACUUACAGAUUGUGUAAAAGGAUUGCUUUAUGAAUUAGUCUUUUAGUUCGAAAGUUUUUGAGAACAUUUCCUUAGAGAUGGUUCUCAGAGAUUGGCAAGCUGCAAACUUGUAAGUUGUAACCAGCUUGUUUGCAUAUCACUGCAGCUGUUUCACAGUCUUCGUGAUGCAGUCUGUCUUUUAAUAGUCUUUGCCGUUUCGCGAAAAAGAAAGAUCAUCAAUCUAUGGAGAAAGUUCUUCCUGAAGAUAUUAGUAUCCAAGACAUGGGAGUACUUCAUCACUCGUCUGUCUAUGUUUUAUUCUCCUUCUUCAGAUUUGAAUGGUAGUUUCGUUUCAACAUGGUUACUAGAGAAUACAUAUAGUUACCAAUGUGUCUGACAAAAUGUUUGAAAGGGAGAAAUGUAUUUGGAUUUGGUUACAACGACGAGACGAAUGAGUAUAAGGUGGUUAGAAUCUAAUAUGAACCACAGGAACAUGCAGAACCAGGACAAGUCCAGGUAUACACUCUUGGGGCUGGUACUUAGUGGGGAAACAAAGGAGAGAUUGCUUAUUCGUUGCAAACCAAUAAUUUUUAUUCGCUGGGUAAAAAUGCAGAUGGAGAGGUUUACUGGUUGCACCAAAGGGAUAAUGAGGAAAGAUCGUGUCCCUGGUAAACUAAUGUAGUCGAACAGUGGUAGAUUGUGGCCUUCAAUUUUGCAUAUGAGGUAUUCCGGUCUCAACAAACCCCUUAGAGGGUGUGCUUGAGAGUGCAAAGAGUAAUCAUUUGGAAACUCACAUGUGAUGGAUGCAUGUAUCCUUGUAAAUGAAGUUGCUCGUUGCAAGUGUUUGUGUUAGUGAUUUAGCGUUCUGUUAGAAUAUGUUUGUUUGGGUGGUGCAGGCUAUUAUUACUUUACAUGGUCAACAUGCAUUAUCAAGUGGAGCAAUUUAUUGCAAAUUUCGCGGUGGCCAUGGUUGAGAUCUUUGCAAGUUUCUGUUACAUGAUUUCAUCUUAUAAGUGGAUUGUGGAGGUUGUGCGUGAUCUUAUGGUUAUAAGCUUGUGAGUGAAUGACUGAUUUUCUUAGUUACUGCUUUCCAUCCAUGCUGAAGCUGAAGCGACUAACAGAAUCAAUAGCAACAAACUCUUCUUUCUGGCUUAAAUUUUAAAGUAGAAAUCUAGAAGCCAGCACUGAGAACUAGAAAUCUAGCAGCCAGCACCGACUUUCUAGGGGUUACUCUGCCCAAAAUCUGUGAAAAAGGCACAAGAAGAGUGGACUGCUACAGUAUUUAAUAACAUCUUUCAAAAGUAACUUCAAGUAAGACGCAUCAAAGUCUGCCGUUUAUGCCCAAGCCAAAGCUCCUUGUUGUCUGAUAGCUACUAGCGCUGUUCGAAAUCCCUAAGGCGGAAAUAUGACUAUUCCAGAUUCCAAGGAACUGGCGAAGUAAGAAGUUUUCAAAUGCAAGUCCAUUUCGUCAACCCAAUGGGCAAUCAGAACAAAGUUAGUCGGAGGCUCAGGUCACCUUGAAAUUUUGUAAUGGUAUUCGUCUUCAAACAUUCUAUCGAAGUAUUUUGCCUUGAGAAGCACUCUGUCAGUUAAAACAUGGCCAGGAAAAUAUAAUCUUAAAAAUCAGAAGUUCAUCAUCCAUCCUUUUAUCUAUUGAUGGCUAAACUAGUUCACUUUUGUUUUUUUAUAUGUGCUGUGCUUUUUGUUUCUUCUGUUUGAAAUGUGGAAUUUCAAUCCAGAGUUCUGACUCCAUAACUCUUGCAUGAUAGUCUGAGAACAGCUUGUCGCACUAUCAAGACAACAGUGUCAUAUAUAGGUUCACUUUGUCAUAAGAAUAAAUUUACUGUAUGUUUCUGUCGUAAUCUUCUUGUUUUUCAUUUAGGGCUAAACCUUAUACUAGACCUGGUUUGAGCCAACACUGGCCCGACCUUAUGUUCUCAGUGCUCUUAACAUACAAUUAUUACCAAUUGCUAACCAAAUCAGUACAGUCUUUCCUAAUCUACAAGAAUUGCCAAAUUUUAAUUUCUAACGUGUGUUAAUUUUUUUAAACUGUCAUCUAAUAUGAUUAGUCUUAGACUAAGUGGUUAUUUAGGUAUGCAUGAGCUUCCGUGUUAUCUAAUAUACUAUCUCUUAGGUUAAGGCGGUUAUAGA